UACUUAUUUUAAAAAAAAAAUUUCCAACAAAAUAAAGUGUCUAUGCCAACGAUCAAAAUUUGCUUUUGAUUUCGUGUUGCUGAUUGGUGCUGCAUUUUAUUUUGAUUUUGUUGAAUUGUGGAUUGGUUGCGUAAUUAGGUCUUUGCUUCUGUUGAAAAAAUCUGUUCAUUUGAAUUGUAUGACUUUCUUUUGCUGGAAGUUCUAUAUUUAUUGCUCUGUGUGUUUGGUCCAUUACUAGAAAUUGGGUUGUGCUUUGGUUAUUUUCUUUGUGUUCUGGAAAAUGGUCACAUGAAACCUAGUGGUGGUUUUGUUUCUGUAGAAAAUUGGGCUAUGUGAAAAUUGUGUAUUGUUGUUUGGCUGUUAAUGGAAGGAUGCUGGUUGACUGGUGAGAGGAUAGCCGUUGUAGGAAUGCGAUACUGGCAAUGGUGGUGUGUAAGAGACUGGUGGUCAUAGGCUAAGAAUCGGUUGCAUAUUGCAACGAGUAUUGAAGUUGCUAUUUUUCUCCUAGUUUUCUAAGACUAAAUUUCGUAACAAUCAAAUGGAUUCUUAGACUGUUAU
RNAcentral lists this long non-coding RNA (558 nucleotides) under Durio zibethinus. RNAcentral's name for it is "long non-coding RNA (DZIB_LNC001099)". Lineage: Eukaryota; Viridiplantae; Streptophyta; Magnoliopsida; Malvales; Malvaceae. The record is from RNAcentral.